Molecule: ribosomal RNA, 430 nt
Filed under: Verrucomicrobiota bacterium
Lineage: Bacteria; Pseudomonadati; Verrucomicrobiota
Description: Verrucomicrobia bacterium partial 16S ribosomal RNA
Rfam family: Bacterial small subunit ribosomal RNA
Source: RNAcentral
UAGGGAAUCUUCGGCAAUGGGGGGAACCCUGACCGAGCAACGCCGCGUGAGUGAAGAAGGUUUUCGGAUCGUAAAGCUCCGUUGUUAAGGAAGAACGAGUGUGAGAAUGGAAAGUUCAUGCUGUGACGGUACUUAACCAGAAAGGGACGGCUAACUACGUGCCAGCAGCCGCGGUAAUACGUAGGGCGCAAGCGUUAUCCGGAAUUAUUGGGCGUAAAGAGCUUGUAGGCGGUUCGUCGCGUCUGGUGUGAAAGCCCAUCGCUUAACGGUGGGUUUGCGCCGGGUACGGGCGGGCUAGAGUGCAGUAGGGGAGACUGGAAUUCCCGGUGUAACGGUGGAAUGUGUAGAUAUCGGGAAGAACACCAAUGGCGAAGGCAGGUCUCUGGGCUGUUACUGACGCUGAGAAGCGAAAGCGUGGGGAGCAAACAGG